CCUACGGGGUGCAGCAGUGAGGAAUAUUGGUCAAUGGGCGCGAGCCUGAACCAGCCAAGCCGCGUGAGGGAAGAAUGCACUACGGGUUGUAAACCUCUUUUAUCAGGGAACAAAGUGAGGCACGAGUGCCUGUAUGUGUGUACUUUAUGAAUAAGGAUCGGCUAACUCCGUGCCAGCAGCCGCGGUAAUACGGAGGGUCCGAGCGUUAUCCGGAUUUAUUGGGUUUAAAGGGCGCGUAGAGGGGUUGUUAAGUCAGGUGUGAAAGUGCGGGGCUCAACCGUAGAAGUGCAGUUGAUACUGGCAGCCUUGAGUACAGGUGAGGUAGGCGGAAUUCGUGGUGUAGCGGUGAAAUGCUUAGAUAUCGCGAAGAACUCCGAUUGCGAAGGCAGCUUACUAAACUGCCACUGACACUGAGGCACGAAAGCGUGGGUAUCGAACAGGAUUAGAUACCCGAGUAGUC
RNAcentral lists this ribosomal RNA (460 nucleotides) under uncultured bacterium. RNAcentral describes it as "partial 16S ribosomal RNA". It matches the Rfam family "Bacterial small subunit ribosomal RNA", at positions 338 to 795 of the family's 1533-position model. The record is from RNAcentral.